AUUGAACGCUGGCGGCAGGCCUAACACAUGCAAGUCGAGCGGAGCGGCGGACGGGUGAGUAAUGCCUAGGAAUCUGCCUGGUAAUGGGGGAUAACGUCCGGAAACGGGCGCUAAUACCGCAUACUAUCAGAUGAGCCGAGGUCGGCUUAGCUAGAUGGUGGGGUAAAGGCCUACCAAGGCGGCGAUCCGGAACUUGUCUGAGAGGAUGAUCAGUCACUGGGGAACGGAGACACGGGCCAGACUCCUACGGGAGGCAGCAGUGGGAAAUAUUGGGCAAUGGGCGGAAGCCUGUUCCAGUCAUGCGGCGUGUGUGAAGAAGGUCUUCGGAUUGUAAAGCACUAUAAGUUGGGAGGCGUUACCAACAGAAUAAGCACCGGCUAACUUCGUGCCAGCCGCCGCGGUAAUAC
This 407-nucleotide ribosomal RNA is filed under the name uncultured bacterium. Its description in RNAcentral is "partial 16S ribosomal RNA". It matches the Rfam family "Bacterial small subunit ribosomal RNA", at positions 30 to 526 of the family's 1533-position model. The record is from RNAcentral.